RNAcentral lists this ribosomal RNA (419 nucleotides) under uncultured bacterium. Its description in RNAcentral is "partial 16S ribosomal RNA". It matches the Rfam family "Bacterial small subunit ribosomal RNA", at positions 355 to 766 of the family's 1533-position model. The record is from RNAcentral.
UGGGGAAUAUUGCACAAUGGGCGCAAGCCUGAUGCAGCCAUGCCGCGUGUGUGAAGAAGGCCUUCGGGUUGUAAAGCACUUCUCAGCGAGGAAGGAGGUGGUGAGCUUAAUACGCUCAUCAAUUGACGUUACUCGCAGAAGAAGCACCGGCUAACUCCGUGCCAGCAGCCGCGGUAAUACGAAGGGUGCAAGCGUUAAUCGGAAUUACUGGGCGUAAAGCGCACGCAGGCGGUUUGUUAAGUCAGAUGUGAAAUCCCCGGGCUCAACCUGGGAACUGCAUUUGAAACUGGCAAGCUAGAGUCUCGUAGAGGGGGUAGAAUUCCAGGUGUAGCGGUGAAAUGCGUAGAGAUCUGGAGGAAUACCGGUGGCGAAGGCGGCCCCCUGGACGAAGACUGACGCUCAGGUGCGAAAGCGUGGGG